GCUGCAAAACGUUCUAUCGCUUCGGGCUUGUACCGGAGAGGAAAGUCCGGGCAACACAGAGCAUCCUGCUUCCUAACGGGAAGGCGCCGGCAGCCGGCGACAGCAAGUGCCACAGAGAAUAUACCGCCACUAAUUUAUUAGUGGUAAGGGUGAAAACGUGAGGUAAGAGCUCACGGCUUUUCCGGGCAACCGGGAUCGCGGUAAACCUCAGGAGUUGAAAAACCAAAUAGGUUCUGAAAGUGAAGCUGCUCGCUUCCGUAUCCGCAAGGGUCGUCAGAAUGGGUAGGUUGAUAAAGCAUACCGGCGACGGUAUGAUCAGAGAUUAAUGAUAGAAAUCUCCGCAAGGAGAUACAGAACCCGGCUUACAGAUUUGCUGCUGUU
Molecule: RNase P RNA, 381 nt
Filed under: Mucilaginibacter sp.
Lineage: Bacteria; Pseudomonadati; Bacteroidota; Sphingobacteriia; Sphingobacteriales; Sphingobacteriaceae
Description: RNase P RNA component class A
Rfam family: Bacterial RNase P class A
About the family: Ribonuclease P (RNase P) is a ubiquitous endoribonuclease, found in archaea, bacteria and eukarya as well as chloroplasts and mitochondria. Its best characterised activity is the generation of mature 5'-ends of tRNAs by cleaving the 5'-leader elements of precursor-tRNAs. Cellular RNase Ps are ribonucleoproteins.
Source: RNAcentral